This 497-nucleotide ribosomal RNA is filed under the name uncultured bacterium. Its description in RNAcentral is "partial 16S ribosomal RNA". It matches the Rfam family "Bacterial small subunit ribosomal RNA", at positions 28 to 507 of the family's 1533-position model. The record is from RNAcentral.
GAUGAACGCUGGCGGCGUGCCUAAUACAUGCAAGUCGAGCGAACGGACGAGGAGCUUGCUCCUCUGACGUUAGCGGCGGACGGGUGAGUAACACGUGGAUAACCUACCUAUAAGACUGGGAUAACUUCGGGAGACCGGAGCUAAUACCGGAUAAUAUAUUGAACCGCAUGGUUCAAUAGUGAAAGACGGUUUUGCUGUCACUUAUAGAUGGAUCCGCGCCGCAUUAGCUAGUUGGUAAGGUAACGGCUUACCAAGGCAACGAUGCGUAGCCGACCUGAGAGGGUGAUCGGCCACACUGGAACUGAGACACGGUCCAGACUCCUACGGGAGGCAGCAGUAGGGAAUCUUCCGCAAUGGGCGAAAGCCUGACGGAGCAACGCCGCGUGAGUGAUGAAGGUCUUCGGAUCGUAAAACUCUGUUAUUAGGGAAGAACAAAUGUGUAAGUAACUAUGCACGUCUUGACGGUACCUAAUCAGAAAGCCACGGCUAACUACGUG